RNAcentral lists this ribosomal RNA (253 nucleotides) under uncultured bacterium. RNAcentral's name for it is "partial 16S ribosomal RNA". It matches the Rfam family "Bacterial small subunit ribosomal RNA", at positions 524 to 776 of the family's 1533-position model. The record is from RNAcentral.
UACGUAGGUGGCAAGCGUUAUCCGGAUUUAUUGGGCGUAAAGGGAACGCAGGCGGUCCUUUAAGUCUGAUGUGAAAGCCUUCGGCUUAACCGGAGUAGUGCAUUGGAAACUGGGAGACUUGAGUGCAGAAGAGGAGAGUGGAACUCCAUGUGUAGCGGUGAAAUGCGUAGAUAUAUGGAAGAACACCAGUGGCGAAAGCGGCUCUCUGGUCUGUAACUGACGCUGAGGGUCGAAAGUGUGGGUAGCAAACAGG